GCCUCAUAUUCUGGACCUUGGUAGAAACAUCUUUCCAGGUCCACUGCCAUGGAUACGCCAAAGAAUCUUGAACAUGGUGCACAGAAUUAACAUAAUUCGCAAUUGGCCUAAACUUUUUCUCACGGGUUUUCAUCUUAGCUAGAGUUCCAUCAGAUACCAUUUCUCCAUACUUAUCAAUCAAAGUCCUCUCCUCAACUUCGGUCCAUUUCUUUCGCUUCGGGGGAAUCAUCACACCAAAUUAACUCACAAUAUACCACUCAAACAGAAUAAAAAG
RNAcentral lists this unclassified non-coding RNA (274 nucleotides) under Hevea brasiliensis (rubber tree). The record is from RNAcentral. Lineage: Eukaryota; Viridiplantae; Streptophyta; Magnoliopsida; Malpighiales; Euphorbiaceae.